Molecule: ribosomal RNA, 1209 nt
Filed under: Triticum aestivum (bread wheat)
Lineage: Eukaryota; Viridiplantae; Streptophyta; Magnoliopsida; Poales; Poaceae
Description: partial small subunit ribosomal RNA
Source: RNAcentral
AUGGCCUCCUCCCCCUCCGAUAUCGCCUUCCAGGCCGCUAUCAACGGCAACCUCCGCCUCCUCAAGAAAAUGGCGACGAAGGUGGACCUGCGGGGAGCCAAGGACGCGAAAGGGGACACCGUGCUCCACUUCGCCGCGUGCAAGGGCAGCCUGGAGAUCUGCAAGUUCCUGGUGGAGGAGUCCAGGCUCGAUGUCGAUUCGGCGUCGAAAACAGGUGAGACGCCGAUGGUCUACGCCGCGCUCGCGGGGAAAGUCCAGGUUAUGAGGUACCUCCUCGACCGCGGCGCCUACCCGGCCGUCCACGAUGAUAACGGCUCGACGCCGCUGCACUAUGCGGCAGAGGAAGGGCACUGCGAGGCUGUAAGGCUGUUGCUGUCCAAAGGAGUCCCCGUGGAUCCUGUUGAUCACCGGGGCGCGCCGUUACACUUGGCGGUUGCAAAGGACCGUGUCGAGGUUGUGAAGCUUCUGCUGGAGCAUGGUGCUGAUCCAAACAAAUUGGUCAAUCAUAUCCUUACACCACUCCUGAUGUCUGUCAUUAGGAAGUCCUUGAAGUGCAUGAAGCUACUGAUUGAGGCGGGUGCUGAUCUGAAUGCUCGUGGUAACUCUGGACCAACUCCUUUAACACAAGCAGUUGAUGACGGUUUCACCGACUUUGUCAAGUUGCUCCUAGAGGCUGGAGCCGACCCUAACAUUCCUAGCGAGCAUGGUGCAAUUCCAGUCGAGCAAGCAGCAGUUCAUGGCCGACGUGACCUUGUUGAAGUUCUAUUUUCUAGGACAAAACCAAUUCCAUCUCUGCCAGAUUGGAGCGUUGAUGGGAUAAUUAGAACCGUAAAGUCUCCGCAUAUCAAUCGUCUUGAGGCAUUUUCUGUGGAAGAAAAAAUUGCUUUUUGGAAGUCACAAGGAAAGGAAGCAUUUGCAAAGGAGGACUACCUUACAGCAAUGUCCUUCUAUGGCAAGGUACUUGACACAGAUCCAUCUGAUGCCACCAUGUAUGCCAACCAGAGCCUCUGCUGGCUGCGUAUGAGACAUGGGAAGCUAGCUCUGGAAGACGCGCUCAAGUGCAGGAUGAUGCGGCCCCGUUGGUCCAAGGCCUGGUAUCGUGAAGGCGCAGUCCUCAGCUUCAUGAAGGUACAGCUGCUUGUAUCGAUUCUACCCUCGCAGUCGAACUCAUCCUCUCCGCUUGUAUAUACCUCCCUCUGGUGUUACUGA